Molecule: ribosomal RNA, 465 nt
Filed under: Vreelandella stevensii
Lineage: Bacteria; Pseudomonadati; Pseudomonadota; Gammaproteobacteria; Oceanospirillales; Halomonadaceae
Description: partial 16S ribosomal RNA
Rfam family: Bacterial small subunit ribosomal RNA
Source: RNAcentral
CCUACGGGUGGCUGCAGUGGGGAAUAUUGGACAAUGGGGGCAACCCUGAUCCAGCCAUGCCGCGUGUGUGAAGAAGGCCCUCGGGUUGUAAAGCACUUUCAGUGAGGAAGAACGCCUGGUGGUUAAUACCCAUCAGGAAAGACAUCACUCACAGAAGAAGCACCGGCUAACUCCGUGCCAGCAGCCGCGGUAAUACGGAGGGUGCGAGCGUUAAUCGGAAUUACUGGGCGUAAAGCGCGCGUAGGUGGCUUGAUAAGCCGGUUGUGAAAGCCCCGGGCUCAACCUGGGAACGGCAUCCGGAACUGUCAAGCUAGAGUGCAGGAGAGGAAGGUAGAAUUCCCGGUGUAGUGGUGAAAUGCGUAGAGAUCGGGAGGAAUACCAGUGGCGAAGGCGGCCUUCUGGACUGACACUGACACUGAGGUGCGAAAGCGUGGGUAGCACACAGGAUUAGAUACCCGGGUAGUC